RNAcentral lists this ribosomal RNA (302 nucleotides) under uncultured archaeon. Its description in RNAcentral is "partial 16S ribosomal RNA". It matches the Rfam family "Archaeal small subunit ribosomal RNA", at positions 477 to 747 of the family's 1478-position model. The record is from RNAcentral.
CUGCAGCCCGAGUGGUGAUCGAUUUUAUUGAGCCUAAAGCGUCCGUAGCCGGACUAGUAAACUCUUGGGUAAAUUGGGCAGCUUAACUGUCCAAAUUCCGAGAGGACUGCUAGUCUUGGGACCGGGAGAGGUCAGAGGUACUCCAGGGGUAGGGGCUAAAUCCGAUAUGCUUUCGUGGCAUUCGGUUAGCAUUCCUGUAAUCCUUGGGGGACCACCAGUGGCGAAGGCGUCUGACUAGAACGGAUCCGACGGUAAGGGACGAAACCCUGGGGCGCGAACCGGAUUAGAGACCCGAGUAGUCC